RNAcentral lists this ribosomal RNA (498 nucleotides) under uncultured bacterium. RNAcentral's name for it is "partial 16S ribosomal RNA". It matches the Rfam family "Bacterial small subunit ribosomal RNA", at positions 29 to 507 of the family's 1533-position model. The record is from RNAcentral.
AGCGAACGCUGGCGGCGUGCCUAACACAUGCAAGUCGAACGUGAAAAGGGAAACCUGAGUAAAGUGGCGUACGGGUGAGUCACGCGUAGGUAAUCUACCCCAGAAUCUGGAAUAACCUGCCGAAAGGCGGGCUAAUACUGGAUAGAGCGAGGGAACUCGUAAGAGAGUUUUUCGGGAAAGGGAGCCCGCAAGGGCCUUCGUUCUGGGAUGAGCCUGCGUCUCAUUAGCUAGUUGGUAAGGUAACGGCUUACCAAGGCGAUGAUGAGUAGCUGGUCUGAGAGGAUGAUCAGCCACACUGGAAAUGAAACACGGUCCAGACUCCUACGGGAGGCAGCAGUGGGGAAUCUUGCGCAAUGGACGAAAGUCUGACGCAGCCACGCCGCGUGAGUGAAGAAGGCCGUCGGGUUGUAAAGCUCUGUCGGAUGGGACGAACAUCUUCAUAGUGAAUAGCUAUGAGGACUGACGGUACCAUCAAAGGAAGCACCGGCUAACUCCGUG